GUUGCCAUCAGGUAAUGCUGGGGACGUCUAAAGGAACUGCCUACGCAAGUAGUGAGGAAGCGGGGAUGACGUCAAUCAGCACGGCCCUUACGUCCAGGGCUACACACGUGCUACAAUGGCCGAUACAGAGGGCAGCUACCUGGUGACAGGAUGCAAAUCUCCAAAGUCGGUCUCAGUUCGGAUCGGAGUCUGCAACCCGACUCCGUGAAGUUGGAUUCGCUAGUAAUCGCGCAUCAGCCAUGGCGCGGUGAAUACGUUCCCGGGCCUU
RNAcentral lists this ribosomal RNA (268 nucleotides) under uncultured Sphingobacteriales bacterium. RNAcentral's name for it is "partial 16S ribosomal RNA". It matches the Rfam family "Bacterial small subunit ribosomal RNA", at positions 1114 to 1382 of the family's 1533-position model. The record is from RNAcentral. Lineage: Bacteria; Pseudomonadati; Bacteroidota; Sphingobacteriia; Sphingobacteriales.